GGACUACUCGGGUUUCUAAUCCUGUUUGCUCCCCACGCUUUCGUGCAUGAGCGUCAGUGUUGGCCCAGGAGGCUGCCUUCGCCAUUGGUGUUCCUCCACAUCUCUACGCAUUUCACCGCUACACGUGGAAUUCCACCUCCCUCUGCCACACUCCAGCCAAGUAGUUUCGAGCGCAAUUCCCAAGUUAAGCCCGGGGCUUUCACACUCGACUUGCUCAGCCGCCUGCGCACACUUUACGCCCAGUAAUUCCGAUUAACGCUCGCGCCCUACGUAUUACCGCGGCUGCUGGCAC
Molecule: ribosomal RNA, 292 nt
Filed under: uncultured bacterium
Lineage: Bacteria
Description: partial 16S ribosomal RNA
Source: RNAcentral